RNAcentral lists this ribosomal RNA (119 nucleotides) under Pteropus alecto (black flying fox). Lineage: Eukaryota; Metazoa; Chordata; Mammalia; Chiroptera; Pteropodidae. The record is from RNAcentral.
GUCUACGGCCAUGCCACCCUAAACAAGCCCGAUCCUGUCUGAUCUCGGAAGCUAAGCAGUGUCAGGCCUGGUUAGUACUUGGAUGGGAGACCACCUAGGAAGAUCAGGUGCUGUAGGCG